GACUUGACUCAGAGGGGUAGAGCGUUGCACUUGUAAUGCAAAGGCCGAUAGUUCAAAUCUGUCGUAUGUAGCCUUCAACU
Non-coding RNA from Lepraria neglecta, 80 nucleotides. The record is from the annotation of a GenBank genome assembly. Lineage: Eukaryota; Fungi; Ascomycota; Lecanoromycetes; Lecanorales; Stereocaulaceae.